UAUUAUUUGAGCUGAUACUCCAUUUUCUUACAAGGUAAAUAAGAUACAACUGUAUCAUUCUGAACUUUUGCCUUUCAUGUAUAUUACAGAGAUGAUGUACAUAUGUUUUUCUUCUGUGAUCUCCUGGGGUCAUUAAUUAUGAAAGAAAUCUGAAUAAUUCUGAAUGAAUCCCCUGUGAUUAUUAAUUCUGAAAGAAAUCUGAAUGAUUGCCAGAAUGAGGAGGAAAAAGCAAUAAAAUUCUGACCAUUUGGGUCAUGGUUUUGGAGGAAGAUUGCUGGUGUUGUGUGCACUCGGCGCUCUAAUUAAUCUUAUUUGAUCUCUAGGUCUAAAUUAAAUUUAUCUCAAUUAGAUGUUAAACGAAUAAUUAAAUGUGUUGGCGUUCAUCCAGACUACAUAGAUCCGAUUGUAUUAGUGUUAGUUCUUUGAAGUCAAGUACUACUAUGGUCGAAGGGAAAUCGUUUUAAAGUGAUGGACAAAGUGAUACAAGACAGAAUACAAAUUAAUCAAUUUUAAUGUCUACAUGUUUUGUUUGCUCUUAUGUUCACUUCUGUCGAGUUACAACUUGACCUUGUGAAUUUGUUUACUUCAGAGAUGUGGUCCCAUCAAUGUUGGCUGUCGAAUUUGUGCUGCAGUCCAUGCCCACCAUGUCCGAGUCUUCGCCCCUUCGUCAUCCAACACAAACAGCAGAACAGAGUAGAAGUUGUGAUUUGCCAGGUUGGAGAACUGACGCAGCUUGCUGUCACGGAGUGCUCGCCCUUCUUCUGUGCCAUAAAGCCCCUCGGUCGAAACUUGCAAAUCAAAAUUGCCGACCCUGUCAAUCUCGCUGGAACGACGUCUAGCUCGUUGUGCUCCACUCACUGUAAGUACCUUGACCUCUGCUUAUUCUGAACCAUUUAUUUAUCUGUUUGGGAUGUAAUUUGUAAGUUUGCUUUCUUAGUAAAGAACUAAAUAAAGCUUUGCUGCUGAUGACUAUUUUCUUGGAUAAGAUUAUAUUCUUUAGAUUGUGAUCUGACCUAUUUGUGAUUUCUAUCUCAGCUAACGGCAUAUCUCAUAACUAAAGCUAUGAACAAGUGCUUCAGUUAUGCUGGUGGCAAUACAUUGCUUGAGGUGACCUCGUGUGCAAGAUUAUCCCCAUGGAGGGCGCUGGCACGGAGACAUUUGCUCACAUCAGUACUA
Molecule: long non-coding RNA, 1176 nt
Filed under: Triticum aestivum (bread wheat)
Lineage: Eukaryota; Viridiplantae; Streptophyta; Magnoliopsida; Poales; Poaceae
Description: long non-coding RNA (TAES_LNC006091)
Source: RNAcentral